RNAcentral lists this ribosomal RNA (301 nucleotides) under uncultured bacterium. RNAcentral's name for it is "partial 16S ribosomal RNA". It matches the Rfam family "Bacterial small subunit ribosomal RNA", at positions 509 to 808 of the family's 1533-position model. The record is from RNAcentral.
CAGUCGCCACGGUAAUACGUAGGUCCCGAGCGUUGUCCGGAUUUAUUGGGCGUAAAGGGAGCGCAGGCGGUUUAGUAAGUCUGAAGUUAAAGGCAUUGGCUCAACCAAUGUAUGCUUUGGAAACUGUUAGACUUGAGUGCAGAAGGGGAGAGUGGAAUUCCAUGUGUAGCGGUGAAAUGCGUAGAUAUACGGAGGAACACCGGUGGCGAAAGCGGCUCUCUGGUCUGUCACUGACGCUGAGGCUCGAAAGCGUGGGUAGCGAACAGGAUUAGAUACCCGCGUAGUCCCUGUCUCUUAUACA